Molecule: long non-coding RNA, 212 nt
Filed under: Pelobates cultripes (western spadefoot toad)
Lineage: Eukaryota; Metazoa; Chordata; Amphibia; Anura; Pelobatidae
Source: RNAcentral
GGCCUCUUUACGAGUUGGCUCCUCAAUGACUUGUAUUAGAGACAAUCCCAGUAGGGAGCUUAGAAUAUGUGUGCUCAUGGCACAAGCAGCUAUUUUGGUUUUCCAGUUCACAUCAGGAAGAUUAAAGUCACCCAUGAUAAUAACUUCCCCCUUCAUUGUCAUUUUAGCUAUUUCCUCAACUAGUAUAUUAUCUAACUCUUCUAUUUGUCCUG